AGAUGAUAAAAUGGGAGAUGCAGAAUUUGACAUCAGGCCAUUUCUAGAGGCUCUGAAGAUGAACUUAAGUGGCCUCCCAGGUGGCACCAUUAUCACUAGAAUACAACCGUGCAGAUCUAACUGCCUGUCCGAAGAGUCUAAUGUUGUAUGGCAAGAUGGUCAGGUUGUGCAGGAUAUGUGCCUAAGAUUGAGAAAUGUGGAAUGUGGAGAGAUCGAACUUCAACUUCAGUGGAUCAACCUUCCUGGUUCCAGGGGUUUAUAGAAUGCAGUGUGUAUACAUACAUCUGAUUGCAGUAAGCUGCAGUCUAUGAACUGCUUUGUGAAUUGUGCUCUCACAAUUGAUCUCUAGUCGUGAUCAACGGAAUUUGUUAUAUUUGCACACUGAACCAAUCUGUUGUGCAAGGUUUUUCUAGCCUAUCGUAUAUUUGGUUUGAAUAUUCUUUUCAAAUUUUCUUGUAUCACUGUAGUUAUAUGGUAUGUAAUCA
RNAcentral lists this unclassified non-coding RNA (485 nucleotides) under Hevea brasiliensis (rubber tree). Lineage: Eukaryota; Viridiplantae; Streptophyta; Magnoliopsida; Malpighiales; Euphorbiaceae. The record is from RNAcentral.